RNAcentral lists this ribosomal RNA (1372 nucleotides) under Staphylococcus pseudintermedius. RNAcentral describes it as "partial 23S ribosomal RNA". It matches the Rfam family "Bacterial large subunit ribosomal RNA", at positions 1530 to 2903 of the family's 2925-position model. Lineage: Bacteria; Bacillati; Bacillota; Bacilli; Caryophanales; Staphylococcaceae. The record is from RNAcentral.
UGUUAGGCAAAUCCGGCACUCUUAAGAUUGAGCUGUGAUGGGGAGAGGAACUUGUUCCUCGAGUCGUUGAUUUCACACUGCCGAGAAAAGCCUCUAGCUAGAAUAACGGUGCCCGUACCGCAAACCGACACAGGUAGUCAAGAUGAGAAUUCUAAGGUGAGCGAGCGAACUCUCGUUAAGGAACUCGGCAAAAUGACCCCGUAACUUCGGGAGAAGGGGUGCUCUUUGAGGUUCACGCUUCGAAGAGCCGCAGUGAAUAGGCCCAAGCGACUGUUUAUCAAAAACACAGGUCUCUGCUAAACCGUAAGGUGACGUAUAGGGGCUGACGCCUGCCCGGUGCUGGAAGGUUAAGAGGAGUGGUUAGCGCAAGCGAAGCUACGAAUCGAAGCCCCAGUAAACGGCGGCCGUAACUAUAACGGUCCUAAGGUAGCGAAAUUCCUUGUCGGGUAAGUUCCGACCCGCACGAAAGGCGUAACGAUUUGGGCACUGUCUCAACGAGAGACUCGGUGAAAUCAUAGUACCGGUGAAGAUGCCGGUUACCCGCGACAGGACGGAAAGACCCCGUGGAGCUUUACUGUAGCCUGAUAUUGAAAUUCGGUACAGUUUGUACAGGAUAGGUAGGAGCCUUAGAAGCGUGAGCGCUAGCUUACGUGGAGGCAUUGGUGGGAUACUACCCUAAUUGUAUUGGAUUUCUAACCCGCAGCACUUAUCGUGCUGGGAGACAGUGUCAGGCGGGCAGUUUGACUGGGGCGGUCGCCUCCUAAAGAGUAACGGAGGCGCUCAAAGGUUCCCUCAGAAUGGUUGGAAAUCAUUCAUAGAGUGUAAAGGCAUAAGGGAGCUUGACUGCGAGACCUACAAGUCGAGCAGGGUCGAAAGACGGACUUAGUGAUCCGGUGGUUCCGCAUGGAAGGGCCAUCGCUCAACGGAUAAAAGCUACCCCGGGGAUAACAGGCUUAUCUCCCCCAAGAGUUCACAUCGACGGGGAGGUUUGGCACCUCGAUGUCGGCUCAUCGCAUCCUGGGGCUGUAGUCGGUCCCAAGGGUUGGGCUGUUCGCCCAUUAAAGCGGUACGCGAGCUGGGUUCAGAACGUCGUGAGACAGUUCGGUCCCUAUCCGUCGUGGGCGUAGGAAAUUUGAGAGGAGCUGUCCUUAGUACGAGAGGACCGGGAUGGACAUACCUCUGGUGUACCAGUUGUCGUGCCAACGGCAUAGCUGGGUAGCUAUGUAUGGACGGGAUAAGUGCUGAAAGCAUCUAAGCAUGAAGCCCCCCUCGAGAUGAGAUUUCCCAACUUCGGUUAUAAGAUCCCUCAAAGAUGAUGAGGUGAAUAGGUUCGAGGUGGAAGCGUAGCGAUACGUGGAGCUGACGAAUACUA